UUGUUGGUAAGGUAAAAGCUUACCAAGGCUUCGAUCAGUAGCUGGUCUGAGAGGACGACCAGCCACACUGGGACUGAGACACGGCCCAGACUCCUACGGGAGGCAGCAGUGGGGAAUUUUGGACAAUGGGGGCAACCCUGAUCCAGCCAUGCCGCGUGAGUGAAGAAGGCCUUCGGGUUGUAAAGCUCUUUCAGCCGGAACGAAACGGUUACGGUUAAUACCCGUAACUAAUGACGGUACCGGAAGAAGAAGCACCGGCUAACUACGUGCCAGCAGCCGCGGUAAUACGUAGGGUGCGAGCGUUAAUCGGAAUUACUGGGCGUAAAGCGUGCGCAGGUGGUUUUGUAAGUCAGAUGUGAAAGCCCCGGGCCCAACCUGGGAACUGCGUUUGAAACUACAAGACUAGAGUGUGGCAGAGGGGGGUGGAAUUCCGCGUGUAGCAGUGAAAUGCGUAGAGAUGUGGAGGAACACCGAUGGCGAAGGCAGCCCCCUGGGUCAACACUGACGCUCAGGCACGAAAGCAUGGGGAGCAAACAGGAUUAGAUACCCUGGUAGUCCAUGCCCUAAACGAUGUCAACUAGUUGUCGGGCCUUUACGGGCUUGGUAACGUAGCUAACGCGUGAAGUUGACCGCCUGGGGAGUACGAUCGCAAGAUUAAAACUCAAAUGAAUUGACGGGGACCCGCACAAGCGGUGGAUUAUGUGGAUUAAUUCGAUGCAACGCGAAAAACCUUACCUACCCUUGACAUGUAUCGAAGCCCGCAGAAAAGCGGAGGUGCCCGAAAGGGAACGAUAACACAGGUGCUGCAUGGCUGUCGUCAGCUCGUGUCGUGAGAUGUUGGGUUAAGUCCCGCAACGAGCGCAACCCUUGUCAUUAAUUGCCAUCAUUUAGUUGGGCACUUUAAUGAGACUGCCGG
RNAcentral lists this ribosomal RNA (916 nucleotides) under uncultured bacterium. RNAcentral's name for it is "bacterial SSU rRNA". It matches the Rfam family "Bacterial small subunit ribosomal RNA", at positions 246 to 1155 of the family's 1533-position model. The record is from RNAcentral.